Molecule: ribosomal RNA, 492 nt
Filed under: uncultured bacterium
Lineage: Bacteria
Description: partial 16S ribosomal RNA
Rfam family: Bacterial small subunit ribosomal RNA
Source: RNAcentral
AGUGAACGCUGGCGGUAGGCCUAACGCAUGCAAGUCGAACGGCAGCACAGUAAGAGCUUGCUCUUACGGGUGGCGAGUGGCGGACGGGUGAGGAAUACAUCGGAAUCUACUUUUUCGUGGGGGAUAACGUAGGGAAACUUACGCUAAUACCGCAUACGACCUACGGGUGAAAGCAGGGGAUCUUCGGACCUUGCGCGAUUGAAUGAGCCGAUGUCGGAUUAGCUAGUUGGCGGGGUAAAGGCCCACCAAGGCGACGAUCCGUAGCUGGUCUGAGAGGAUGAUCAGCCACAAUGGAACUGAGACAAGGUCCAGACUCCUACGGGAGGCAGCAGUGGGGAAUAUUGGACAAUGGGCGCAAGCCUGAUCCAGCCAUACCGCGUGGGUGAAGAAGGCCUUCGGGUUGUAAAGCCCUUUUGUUGGGAAAGAAAAGCAGCAGGUUAAUACCCCGCUGUUCUGACGGUACCCAAAGAAUAAGCACAGGCUAACUUCGUG